RNAcentral lists this non-coding RNA (100 nucleotides) under bovine gut metagenome. Its description in RNAcentral is "SAM riboswitch (S box leader)". It matches the Rfam family "SAM riboswitch aptamer (S box leader)". From Rfam's summary of the family: The SAM riboswitch is found upstream of a number of genes which code for proteins involved in methionine or cysteine biosynthesis in Gram-positive bacteria. The record is from RNAcentral.
GUUAUCAAGAGUGGACGAGAGAACGGCUCUUUGACUCCACAGCAACCUAUCGUAAGACAAGGUGCUAAAACCGACAAAGUAGUACUACUUUGACUGAUGA